ACAGGACAGAGACAGACCAGUCAAUUCACAUGGCCUUCACAGGACAGAGACAGACCUGUUCAUUCAUACGGCCUUCACAGGACAGAGACAGACCAGUCAAUUCACAUGGCCUUCACAGGACAGAGACAGACCAGUCAAUUCACAUGGCCUUCACAGGACAGAGACAGACCUGUUCAUUCAUACGGCCUUCACAGGACAAACAAGACCAGUCAUAUUGUAUCUUUAUUUAACUAGGCAAGUCAGUUAAGAACAAAUUCUUAUUUUCAAAGACGGGCUAAGAACAGUGCCUUGUUCAGGGGCAGAAUAACAGAUUUUUACCUCGUCAGCUCGGGGAUUCGAUCUUGCAACCUUUCGGUUACAAGUCCAACACUCUAACCACUAGGCUACCUGCCGCCCCAAUGUCCUUCACAGGACAGAGACAGACCAGUCCAUUCCUAUGGCCUUCACAGGACAGAGACAGACCAGUCCAUUCCUAUGGCCUUCACAGGCCAGAGACAGAUUUUUGACGACACCUUUAUGAAUCACAAACUGUACAGCCACAGUCAGCAGGCAGCUUCAUUGGCCUAUUCACUUUACCAAUCUGUCAGUGGACUUCACCAAUACAGAUCACGUGCCUGAAAAACUCCCAAUCCAUGCCAACACAGAGAGGACGGAGGAAUGUACUGCAGCCAAAUUGUUAGGCUGUUCAUAUUUGACCAAACUUGUCAACUUCUCUAUAACGAUCCGACUGCUUAUCUCAAAAUAAACCACUGAAAUGAACAUGUGACUAUAUAUCCAGAAUCCUCAUCUGGAAUGCCAAUAGGGAUCACAAACCAACAUUACAGCUCACCACUGAUCCAGAUUUCUACCCAUCGUUUUAGCACUGGAGGUGCUGUGGUAAUACUGAAGGUACUGUGGUACGAGAUACUGUGUUAGCACUGGAAAUACUGUGGGACUAGAUACAGUGGGACUAGGUACUGUGGUACGAGAUACUGUGUUAGCACUGGAGAUACUGUGGGACUAGAUACUGUGGGACUAGGUACUGUGGAACUAGAUACUGUGGGACUAGGUACUGUGGGACUAGGUACUGUGGGACUAGGUACUGUGGGACUAGAUACUGUGGUAUGAGAUACUGUGUUAGCACUGGAGAUACUGUGGGAUUAGAUACUGUGGGACUAGAUACCAUGGGACUAUAUACUGUGGGAAUAGAUAUCAUUUAAAAAAAAAUGUUUACCUUUAUUUAACUAGGUUAAGAACAAAUUCUUAUUUUCAAUAACGGCCUAGGAACAGUGGGUUAACUGCCUGUUCAGGGGCAGAACGACAGAUUUGUACCUUGUCAGCUCGGGGGUUUGAACUUGCAACCUUCCGGUUACUAGUCCAACGCUCUAACCACUAGGCUACCCUGCCGCCCCAAUUGGACUAGGUACUGUGGGAUUAGAUACUGUGGGAUUAGAUACUGUGGGACUAGAUACUGUGGGACUAGAUACUGUGGGACUAGGUACUGUUGGACUACAUACUGUGGGACUAGGUACUGUUGGACUAGAUGCUGUGGGACCAGGUGCUGUGGGACUAGAUACCAUGGGACUAGAUACUGUGGGACUAGGUACUGUGGGACUAGAUACUGUGGGACUAGAUACCAUGGGACUAGAUACCAUGGGACUAGAUACUGUUGGACUAGAUACUGUGGGAAAGAUACCAUUGGACUAGAUACUGUUGGACUAGGUACUGUGGGACUAGAUACUGUGGGACUAGAUACUGUUGGACUAGAUACUGUGGGACUAGAUACUGUGGGACUAGAUACCAUGAGACUAGAUACCAUGGGACUAUAUACUGUGGGACUAGAUACCAUGGGACGAGAUACUGUUGGACUAGAUACUGUGGGAAAGAUACCAUUGGACUAGAUACUGUUGGACUAGGUACUGUGGGACUAGAUACUGUGGGACUAGAUACUGUUGGACUAGAUACUGUGGGACUAGAUACUGUGGGACUAGAUACCAUGAGACUAGAUACCAUGGGACUAUAUACUGUGGGACUAGAUACUGUGGGACUAGAUACCAUGAGACUAGAUACCAUGGGACUAUAUACUGUGGGACUAGAUACUGUGGGACUAGAUACUGUGGUUCUAGGUACUGUGAGAUGAGAUACUGUGGGACUAGGAACUGUGGGACUAGAUACUGUGUUAGCACUGGAGAUACUGUGGGACUAGAUACUGUGGGACUAGAUACUGUGGGAUGAGAUACUGUGGGACUAGAUACUGUGGGACGAGAUACUGUGGGAUGAGAUACUGUGGGACUAGAUACUGUGGGACUAGAUACUGUGGGACUAGAUACCAUGGGACUAGGUACUGUGGGCUAUAUACUGUGGGACUAGAUACCAUUGGACUAGGUACUGUGGGACUAGAGACUGUGUUAGCACUGGAGAUAAUAUGGGACUAGGUAUUGUGGGACUCAAUUCCAUUGGACUAGUUACUGUGGUACUAGGUACUGUGGGACUAGUUGCUGUGGGACCAGGUACUGUGGGACUAAAUACUGUGGGACUAGAUACCGUGGGACUAGAUACUGUGGGACUAGGCAUUGUGGGACUAGAUGCUGUGGGACUAGAUACUGUUGGACUAGAUGCUGUGGGACCAGGUGCUGUGAGACUAGAUACCAUGGGACUAGAUACUGUUGGACUAGAUACUGUGGGACUAGAUACUGUUGGACUAGGUACUGUGGGACUAGAUACUGUGGGACUAGAUACUGUGGGACUAGAUACCAUGAGACUAGAUACCAUGGGACUAUAUACUGUGGGACUGGAUACUGUGGGACUAGAUGCUGUUGGACUCAUUACCAUGGGACUAGAUACUGUGGGACUUGGUACUGUUGGACUCACUACCAUGGGACUAGAUACUGUGGGACUCAUUAUCAUGGGACUCGGUACUGUGGGACUAAGUACUGUUGGACUCAUUACCAUGGGACUAGAUACUGUGGGACUAGGUACUGUGAGACUCAUUAUCAUGGGACUAGAUAAUGUGGGACUCAUUAUCAUGGGACUAGAUACUGUGGGACUAGGUGCUGUGGGACUUAUUACCAUGCGACUAGGUACUGUGGGACUAGAUACUGUGGGACGUUACCAUGGGACUAGGUACUGUGGGACGUUACCAUGGGACUAGGUACUGUGGGACAUUACCAUGGGACUAGGUACUGUGGGACGUUACCAUGGGACUAGGUACUGUGGGACUAGGUACUGUGGGAUUAGAUACUGUUGGACUCAUUACCAUGGGACUAGGUUCCAUGGGACUAGGUACUGUGGGACAUUACCAUGGGACUAGGUACUGUGGGACCAGAUACUGUGGGACCAGAUGCUGUGGGACUAGGUACUGUGGGACGUUACCAUGGGACUAGAUACUGUGGGACCAGAUACUGUGGGACUAGGUACUGCGGAACUAGGUACUGCGGAACUUCUGCUGGUUGGGGAACAUUUUGAUUGAAACCACAAUAUUAACACUCUUAUGAGUGUACAUGCAUUUUUGUAUAUUAUAUAUCAGUGGAGGCUGCUGAGGGGAGGACGGCUCAUAAUAAUGGCUGGAUCGGAGCAAAUGGAAUGGCAUGCAACCAUGUGUUUGAUGUAUUUGAUACCAUUCAACUCAUCCCAUUCCAGCCAUUUUAUAUAUAUAUAUAUAUAUAUAUAUAUAUAUAUAUAUAUAUAUACACACUUCAUGACCAAAGGUUUGUGGACACCUACUCGUCUCAGCUCAUUCUAAAAUCAUGGGCAUUAAUAUGAAGUUGUUCCCCCUUAGCUGCUUUAACAGUUUCCGCUUUCCACAAGAUGUUGCAACGUUUCUGUGGGGACUUGCUUCCAUUCAGCAACAAAAGCAUUAGUUAGGUCGGCAUUGAUGUCCGGGCAGUGAUGUUGGGUGAUUAGGCCUGGCUCGCAGUCUCCGUUCCAAUUAAUCCAAAAAGUGUACGAUUGGUUUGAGGUCAGGGCUCUGUAUAGGCUAGUCAAGUUCUUCCACAACGAUCUCAACAAACCAUGUCUGUAUGGACCUAACUUUGUCCACGGGAACAUUAUCAUACUGAAACAGAAAUGGGCCUUACCCAAACUGUUGCCACAAAAUUGGAAGCACAGAAUAGUCUAGAAUAUCAUUGUAUGCUGUAGCGUUAACAUUUUCCUUCACUGGAACUAAGGGGCCUAGCCCGAACCAUGGAAAAAAGACCCAGACCAUAAUUCCUCCUCCACUAAACUUUACAGUUGGCACUAUGCAUUCGGGCAAGUAGCGUUCUCCUGGCAUCCGCCAAACCCAGAUACGUCUGUCGGACUACCAGAUGGUGAAGCAUGAUUCUUCACUCCAGAGAAUGCGUUUCAACUGCUUCAGAGUCCAAUGGAGGCGAGCUUUACACCAUUUCAGCCGAUGCUUGGAAAUGCGCAUUGUGAUCUUAGGCUUGUGUGAAGCUCCCGAUGAACAGUUAUUGUGCUUAUGUUGCUUCCAGAGGCAGUUUGGAACUCGGUAGUGAAUGUUGCAACCGAGAACAGGUGAUUUUUACCCGCUAUAUGCGUCAGCAUUUUGCGGGUCUGUUCUGUGCGCUUGUGUGGCCUACAACUUUACCGCUGAGCCAUUGUUGCUCCAAGAUUUUCCCACUUCACAAUAACAGCAUUUACAGUUGGGUAGCUCUAGCAGGGCAGAAAUUUGACAAACUAUCUUGUUGGAAAGGUGGCAUCCUAUGACAGUGCCACGUUGAAAGUCACUGAGUUUUUCAGUAAGGCCCAUUCUACUGCUAGUGUUUGUCUAUGGAGAUUGCAUGGCUGUGUGCUUGAUUUUAUACACCUGUCAGCAAAGGGUGUGGCUGAAAUAACCGAAUCCAUUAAUUUGAAGGGGUGUCCACAUACUUUAGUAUAUAUAUACUGGUCCAGUCAAAAGUUUGGACACACCUACUCAUUCAAGGGUUUUUCUUUAUUUUUUUAUUAUUUCCUACAUUGUAGAAUAAUAGUGAAGACAUUAAAAUGACAAAAUAACACACAUGAAAUCAUGUACUAACCAAAAAAGUGUUAAACCAACCCAAAUAUAUUUUAUAUUUUAGAAGCUCCAAAGUUGCCACCCUUUGCCUUGAUGACAGCUUUGCACACUCUUGGCAUUCUCUCAACCAGUUUCACCUGUAAUUAUUUUACAACAGUCUUGAAGGAGUUCCCACAUAUGGUGAGCACUUGUUGGCUGCUUUUUAUUCACUCUGCGGUCCAACUCAUCACAAACCAUCUCAAUUGGGUGAAGGUCGGGUGAUUGUGGAGGCCAUUUACUCUGAUGCAGCACUCCAUCACUCUCAUCCUUGGUCAAAUAGCCCUUACACUGCCAGGUAUGUUGGGUAUUUGUGUCCUGUUGAAAAACAAAUGAUAGUCCAACUAAGCACAAACCAGAUGGGAUGGCGUAUCGCUGCAGAAUGCUGUGGUAGCCAUGCUGGAUAAGUGUGCCUUGAAUUCUAAAUACAUCACUGACAUUGGCACCAGCAAAGCACCCCCACACAAUCACACCUCCUCCUCCAUGCUUCACGGUGGAAACCACACAUGCGGAGAACAUCCGUUCACCUACUCUGCGUCUCUCAAAGACAGAGUUUGGAACCAAAAAUCUAAGUUUUGAUGUCUUCACUAUUAUUCUACAAUGUAGUAAUUAUUAUUCUACGAAAUAGUAAAAAUAAUGAAAAACCCUUGAAUGAGUAGGUGUGUCCAAACUUUUGAGUGGUAGUGUAUAUAUGUGUAUAUGUGUAUACGUGUGUAUUUUUUGUAAAUGAUACAUAUUAGAUUGUAACUAUUUAAAUGAUGUACAGAUUCUUCUUCUAGACCCAUAUAGGUUAUUAUUUUAUCUAAUGAUGUUUUUUUUUGUUCUUACCUCUACCUGGCUGUAAAUGACAUGUCAUGGAGUCAGAUCAGAUGGUGAAAAAUAUACCAGCACAGCUUGACGUUCUCUUUAUAAACAUGACUUUUGUCAUUUCACCUCCUCAUUGUACAGUGACAUCCCACUGGGCACAAACUGGUUGAAUAACUUUGUUUUCACUUUGAAAACUGAUCAGGCAUCAAUGUACCAGCACAGAUUGAUGUUCUCCUUUAAAACAUGCCACAAUGUAAAGGAAUUCCUGGAAUUGUAUCAUUUUUUUCACCUACCUUUUCAACUAAAUCCAAUGACAUGGUUAAAUACAACUCAAUCAAAAUGUAAAUAUAAACUAGAUGUUGAACUGAUGACUGUGCCCAGUGGGUUGUCAUGGUGAAUCAUAUCAAACAUAUCAAGAAUAGCAUUAGGGUUUUCUUGAGGAAAACAUCAUGGAACAAUAAAUAUAUCAGAUUGUAUCAUCAGCUCUCAGGUUUCAAUAUGACAUCAUGACCAUGUGUAACUGCAGCAUAAUAAUGAUAAAAAAUAUAAUAUCCUCUUAUAGUUUGUCUUCACUUUUCACAUGCAUCAUCAAACUCCUCUGUGAUCAUCAAUAAACUUAAUGUGA
This is a long non-coding RNA of Oncorhynchus tshawytscha (Chinook salmon), 6440 nucleotides long. The record is from Ensembl. NCBI's taxonomy places the organism in Eukaryota, Metazoa, Chordata, Actinopteri, Salmoniformes, Salmonidae.